AUGAUGGAUUGAGGGUUUUGCUUGGUUUGUGUGUCGUGUUUUAUGUUUCAGAACGAAUUCGUGAAACUUUGGGUUUCUGUUUUGACUGCAGGUGCUAUGGUGGCGGUCAUUCCCAGCUGACGCGAGUACGCUUGAAUGGCUGAAGCGGAAUCCGAAGGUUGUUAAUAAGCUUGAGGUCCAUUCCAGAGAUGAUUUUCAUGUAGCAUCUGAAGAAUUAAACAAGUAUGGUGGCAAGGGUGAUCUCUCAAAACAAGUUGCUAAUAUACUUGAGGUCUAUCUCGGACGUGGGUUUCAGGUAGCAUAUGAAAAAGCAAUGGAUUAUGGCAUCAAGGUUAUGAUGCAUCAUUUCCCACUGCAAGUAUUGCCUCUUUUCCCUUUUCCCUUCCUUCUUUAAGGUGUUCUGUUGCUGUUCUAAGUGAUGGCCGUAGAGAGCGUCUACAAUUCUUUCUAGUUUAUCGGCUUUAACAGUCGAUAUUCAGAAAUCAACAUGAGAGUUGGUUAUUAUGUAAUAGUUACGGGUGUGAUUCAUUCUCCAUUCAUUUAUUUCCAAGAAAAUACAGCACAAUAUCCUUUUGAGCAGCAGAGAUCACUUCAUUGAGAAGGCCAAUCAUGUCGAUUUUCUACAUUAGGGGAUGGCUAAGAAUCCAAAAUUCUGUUGCAUUUUCAAUAGUUGAUCGACUUUCAUGGACAUUGUGAAUCUUCAUAGAUGAUUGCCAUAUUUGAGUUCUGUCUGGAUUACCCUUAGUCGCAAUCUUGAAUUGCAGUUUUAGAUGCUCCGGAUAUACAAAGCAUUAUUUAUCGGUUUACUUUAGUUCAUCCUCUUUAAAUUCCAUUACUUCUCUCUUCUCUAGCAUGACUUUGCUCUAUGACUACGACAGGUUGCUCUGUGUGAUAAAAGCCCACUCGCGGCAAAGAUGAAUUUAAUUAAAGCAUCACUUACGUUUGAACGGGUAUGAUUUAUUGCGUUAGAUCUCAUUAUGUUGCAAGUGCUUCUUGCAUG
Long non-coding RNA from Rhodamnia argentea, 1000 nucleotides. RefSeq lists it as uncharacterized. The record is from RefSeq and is a predicted model, not a curated record. The transcript is spliced from 3 exons. Lineage: Eukaryota; Viridiplantae; Streptophyta; Magnoliopsida; Myrtales; Myrtaceae.